Small nuclear RNA from Neomonachus schauinslandi (Hawaiian monk seal), 105 nucleotides. Lineage: Eukaryota; Metazoa; Chordata; Mammalia; Carnivora; Phocidae. The record is from RefSeq and is a predicted model, not a curated record.
UUCAGUGCCUGCUUUGAUAUAUUAAAAAUUGGAAAUGAUACAGAGAAGAUUAGCAUGGCGCCUGAGCCAGAAUGACCACAAAUUCGUGAAGUGUUCCAUAUUUUU